AUACAUAAUACAAAGAGACAGAACGUGAUAUCUAUAUAUGAGAGUUAAUAU
This 51-nucleotide non-coding RNA is filed under the name Trypanosoma brucei brucei. Lineage: Eukaryota; Euglenozoa; Kinetoplastea; Trypanosomatida; Trypanosomatidae. The record is from RNAcentral.